CUGUGAGUUAGCCUUGCUCCUUGUGAUGGCUAUUAUUAAGUGUCAGCUUGAUUGGACUGAAGGAUACAAAGUAUUGUUUCUGGGUGUAUCUAGGUGUUUCUAGUGUGGCAGAAGAGGUUAACAUUUGAGUCAGUGGACUGGGAGAGGAAGGCCCACCCUCAAGAAGACUCACCCUCAUUGUGGGUCUUGGCAUCAUCCAAUCAGCUGCCAGUAUGGCUAGAAAAAAGCAGGGAGAAGAAGAUGGAAGAAGCUGACUUGCUGAGUCUUUCGGCCUCCAUCUUUCUCCCAUGCUGGAUGCUUCCUGCCCUCGAUCAUCAGACUCCAAGUUCUUUGGCUUUGGAACUCUUGGACUUACACCUGUGGUUUCCCAGGGGCACUUAGGCCUUCAGUCACAGACUGAAGGCUCCACUGUCGGCUUCCCUACUUUUGAGGUUUUGGGACUCGGACUGAGCCACUACUGGCUUCCUUGCUCCACAGCUUGCAGACAGCCUAUAAUGGGACUUCACCGUGAGAUCGUAUGGAGUCUCACUCUGUCACCCCAGCUGGAGUGCAGUGGCAUGAUCUUGGCUCACCGGCAUGAUCUUGGCUAACCUCCACCUCCCAGGUUCAAGUGAUUCUCCUGCUUCAGCCUCCUGAGUAGCUGGGAUUACAGGAUGAAGAACCGUCUAUAGAAAGCGACACAUGAAACCAUUUUCAAACGACUUUAAUCAUGUUUUGCUGCCCAAAUACUGUACAUGCAGAAGCCAUGUGAAGAAUUUUCUCCUCAAGGAAAUUGGCAAGAACAUUGUACGAAACAGCUGGCAGUCCCUCCCAGCUGUACACCUGCCACCCGGGAACCACAACAAGUUAGGAAAGAUGCCGCACAUAGAAAAUGUAUAGAGCACAGAUAUAAAAGGCUAAUUGCUUCUUAUCUAAACAGUGUGCUUGUCAGUCCCUAUCAGCUAUCUCUCUCUUUGCAAGAUGCAUUUGGAAAGUCUAAAAAAAGGGGUUCUUGCCUUCUGUGAGUUUACAUGCUAAAGGAGUUGGUUGAGCUAUCAGGCCCACUCUCCUUAAGGAAGCAGCUGCCCUGCCUUCUGAGAUGAUGUCUGGUUAAAGACACUCUGGAGGGAGGAGUGGUCUUAAGAAGCAAAAUACUUUGAAAGGAAAUCAGUUCCCUCUCUCCUCCCAUUGGAGAGCAUUUCCUUUAGAAUUCUCAGAUCUUCAACUCUCCCGGUGAUGUCAUCCCAGAAGCAGAAAUGAGGACAGACCCAGCCUCAUCUGCGGUGGGGACACUGACCUACUCAGGAUGGAGCUGAGAUUGCGACAUCACACCAGCACCUUGAAAACUAUCCAUUGUAGACGACCCUUAAUUAUGUCUCAUCAUCACACAAGAGUAAAAGAGGGAGGACAAACCACGAAGAGAGGAAAGCAGAGUCUGUUAGGAUUCCCAGAGUUCUUGUAUGAGGCAGCAUUUGGAUGUAGACCAGCUGAGGGCCUGCACCCAGCCUGGGCAUCAGGGGCUGGAGGAAACCAGCCCAUGGAGACGGGAACCAGGUGCACCAGGCUCGCAACCCUCAUGUGCUCUGGAUCAGAGACUUCCAAUUAAAACCAGGAGGGAACUAUGGAGAGAGCAGCUAAUGCUCUGAUUUUGCAGAUGAGGAAGCUGAGGCCCAGAAAAGUGAGGAGCCUUGCCCAAGGUCACAGUUUCUGGCAAAACUGUACAGAACAGCCUUUGAUUCCCUCUAGCCAGCUGUCUCUGUCCAGGUCACUGGCCAAUGAGGUGGAUGCUUGGUUGCCCCUGGAAUUCCCAGGCCCCAUUCUGUUAGCCAAGCUGACUGGAACCCAGGCUCAGGGACCCUUCCUAGCAUCAGUGUCAACUCCUCGGGAGGCCCAAGGCCCUGUCCUUUUUGGCCAAGUUUCCAGCCAGAGCCCUGGAAGAGUUUCUCAAAGCAGAAACACUCAUGCUUUUCGGCAAGCACCUGCCCCAAGCCAGUCUAGGCCCCUGAGAGAAUGCAACUUUCUCUCACUGACGUGGCUUCCCUCACAGGCACAGCCAUGCUGGGCCCACACAAGCCCAAGCUCAGGGUUUGGGGGAGGGGAGGGAGGGAGAGUUGCUUUGCUACAUGGAAAGAUUAAGCCCUUUAUCAGAGAACAAGGCCCCGCCAUUGGGCACACCAACAUCUGAGCCACGUUUGUGCAACUCAGCCAGCAGAGUUGGUGCCCAAGGAGGCCAAGUUGCUCUCUUUGGCAUCACUGACAUUGCUCUGAGAUGCUCAGGCACACUUUCAAAAGAACCCUUUCCCAGCCAGACCAGGCCAGUCCAGCCCCCAUCAGGCCUCACCUGAUUGUGCGGGCUUCCCCUGCUCCUCAAUCAUGCUUGUUUUGUUUCACCCCAACCUCUUCUGACCUGAGUGAAAAGAUUGAGGGAGAAGGCAGGGGGGAUGGGUCCACAUUUUCAUCUCCUCCCUGACCACUCAGUGAAAGACAGUCCAGUAGAAGAAGCAGCAUUUUAAAGAAUCUCUUUACGUGUCAGGAUACUGGAGAAGAAAACUCUGGGGAGUGGAAGAGAAAGGUAGGAGGAGGCAGGGAAGCAGGCCUCUUCUUUUCCAUCUCCCUGCAGCCACUGCAGAAACACUGCUGGACAACCUUCCGGCCCUGAAUGAUGUGCCAUCUCUCCAGCCAGGUGGAGAGCAACUCGUCUACAACAUCAAGCAAAGGCAGCAAUUUCUUGCACAGAGUUUGCACAGUGCUAGAGGCAAUCAGAGAGACACAAAAGAGGAGCAUCACUAAAGCCCUAUUGCUUUCUGGGCUGAGGAAGAUGGGGAA
Molecule: non-coding RNA, 2805 nt
Organism: Callithrix jacchus (white-tufted-ear marmoset)
Lineage: Eukaryota; Metazoa; Chordata; Mammalia; Primates; Cebidae
Source: RefSeq, a predicted model, not a curated record